GUGGGGAAUAUUGCACAAUGGGCGAAAGCCUGAUGCAGCAACGCCGCGUGAGGGACGACGGCCUUCGGGUUGUAAACCUCUUUUAGUAGGGAAGAAGCGAAAGUGACGGUACCUGCAGAAAAAGCACCGGCUAACUACGUGCCAGCAGCCGCGGUAAUACGUAGGGUGCAAGCGUUAUCCGGAAUUAUUGGGCGUAAAGAGCUCGUAGGCGGUCUGUCGCGUCUGCUGUGAAAACUGGAGGCUCAACCUCCAGCCUGCAGUGGGUACGGGCAGACUAGAGUGCGGUAGGGGAGAUUGGAAUUCCUGGUGUAGCGGUGGAAUGCGCAGAUAUCAGGAGGAACACCGAUGGCGAAGGCAGAUCUCUGGACCGUAACUGACGCUGAGGAGCGAAAGCGUGGGGAGCGAACAGGAUUAGAAACCCUGGUAGUCC
This 430-nucleotide ribosomal RNA is filed under the name uncultured bacterium. RNAcentral describes it as "partial 16S ribosomal RNA". It matches the Rfam family "Bacterial small subunit ribosomal RNA", at positions 354 to 796 of the family's 1533-position model. The record is from RNAcentral.